Molecule: long non-coding RNA, 2384 nt
Organism: Cephus cinctus (wheat stem sawfly)
Lineage: Eukaryota; Metazoa; Arthropoda; Insecta; Hymenoptera; Cephidae
Exons: 3
Source: RefSeq, a predicted model, not a curated record
GAAAAAAUUUUAAUCAUAGACUACUAGUAGAUGUAAUAAACGAGACUCGUACACAUAUACAUACAUAUUGUUAUCAAGAAUGACGCCAGUCGCUUGCAUCAGCUGAUGAAACAUUGCAAUGAAUUUCGUCAUCAUUAAAAAAUCGAAUUGCAAGUAAAUCCCAUAGAGGAGUAUCCAACAUAAAGAAGUAUGUAAAGUCAAAAGAGAUGGAUGUGAUCAUGUGAAAAUUACAAGGCAUAAAUUCAACUGAAUCUGUAGGUAUAAUACAGGCGGAUCCGCUCACUACAUUCCAGUCUGCAUCAGUAUACCAAACGACCUUGUCUCUAAUUCGCAAGCCAAGUAUAUCGGGUGACUCGGAACAAAAGCACUACAAAGCUUCCAGUGUUGAGUACUGUAACGUAACAAAACAAAGAGACAUAUGUAGAUUCGGUGCAACGUGUUAAGCCAGGAUCAUUGUGCUUUAGUAUCAAAGUAUGUACGUUGCAUAACCGUGCAUAGACGUGGGGCAAGUCACUACCGAUAUGAACUGGAUAGAAUCGGCCUCCAGUUAAAAUACCACCCGCAGCUGCAAUCUCGUGCGUUACAAACACACAAGACCGAUAAAAGAAGCCAAGAAAAUCCCCCUUUUGAAUUUUAUGUUUUCUCCCGCGCUUCAAUUAACCCACCGUCCUGAUAAUGUUAUGAGCAGAGGUUAAAAUUUCGUUUCUGGCACCGCUGUCCACUACGCAGUCGAAUCCCGAGACUUUCGGUAAUCGAGUCUUAUCACAAAUUACGAGCGACUUUUGUGUCAAACGUCUACAAUUUUUUUUACGUCACUGAUGCUUUAAAUUGCACUCCUUACGUAACUGACCGCUUCGUUUUCAUUUCAAUAAUCUUGAACACAGAUAUUUUUUUCAGUUUAAAUAAGAUACUUUGGAUUGUAUUGAAACGUAUUUUUCACUUUAAAACUUGUAAAUGCAUGAAGUUACGGGUGCAAAUGAUUCUAAUGAAUUCUUCAAAUUAGAUAAAUACCUAAUAUAGUAUACCUAGUAUACCAAGUGUAUACCAGUUUAAGGCAGUGACAAUCAUAUUGAAACUUCUGAUUACACGUAAACGGGAAAACCAAUGUUAAUGACAUUUUUGUAAAACAAACAUGCUUUAAAGAAACUUUAAUCCAGAUUAAAGGAAUGUCUCUAUUAGAUUUUUUCGUGAAUUACGUCAUUUGGCCUUUUAUCGCUAAAGUGCGCGUUAAGACUGACGAUAUUCGUACGAUUGAUUCCCCAGAGGGGACCGCGACGCAAUUUUUUCUCUCAAUUGACUAGUCCUCAUUCUCGACACAGUUAGUCCCUGUUACAUACGCAGACUAUGUGUACCAUUUAAAUAAAAAACUGUGUAUCCAAUCCUCGUGCAAGAUUAGCUUGAACGAAUUUUCGACAAACCCGUAUCCUGCGGAGUCCAAUUGUGCAUAAACUUGAACGUCGGACAAGGUUUAAAUGACAAAGUACCAUAACGUACUGCAAAACAUUCCACUGCUAAGUGAAACUUUUCACCGGCACCGGUCGUGACGUUAUUCCGUAGAUUACCGACCUAUAUAACCAAAGCAAUGUCAACCUUCUGCAUUUCGUUAACAACGCAAUAUUCGAACAAGAUAAGAGGAUCAGACAUAAACAUAAUAACACGUCUGUAAUUUGCAAUUAGAAAAAGGACGUAAGAGGAAGACCGCUUAUGUAAAACCGUAAAUAAAUAAAUCUCAAAAUUGAACUGAUCGAUCAAGCCUACAAUCAUUAUGAGUUCUGAUCGCAUUUAAUGGAUCAAAAAUACGGCCGAGACGAUCAAUUCAUUUUAUCUGGACAGAGGGGCAAGAUCCACUUGAAUUAAAUAUGCCCCGGCAUAUAAACAUAUGUCAUGCAAUUAUUGCAUAAAUUCUCUGUUGCGAUGUCGAGGAGAUUUGGAAAUCUGGUUAAAGCGAAAAGUUCAUUCAACGAGCUGUUUAAGCUGAAAACGUCGAUGUACUUGUGAUUACGUAAGCACCGAAUACCGUGAGAAGCGUCCUACUUCCAGCGGCUGUUUCACCCGAAGCCAAUACAUAAGACUGGUACUACUCAUAGUGCUAUAAUAAACCAUUCUUAUUCACUAAAAUAUUCAACAAUCUCUAACUAUAAACUCUAUAAUGCACUUAUUCGCGUCUUGCGUUCUAUUCAAACGCAAGAUGCAGUAUUACACGACUAUGUAUUAAUGAACAAAAAAUCAGUUUAAUACUGUUAAUGAUAUCGACACAGAUUGAGACACAUCACUCGUCUCUAUCGUUGAUCUUCCGGUUCAUACGGAUCCGUCAGUUGUUGAAUUUUUUGGCCCGUUAUCUAACGCAAUCAGAAAUGAUGACAUCAGCUGCUGCGAGGACUCAC